This 704-nucleotide long non-coding RNA is filed under the name Setaria viridis. Its description in RNAcentral is "long non-coding RNA (SVIR_LNC007336)". The record is from RNAcentral. Lineage: Eukaryota; Viridiplantae; Streptophyta; Magnoliopsida; Poales; Poaceae.
GAAGAGUGGGAUGCAGAAGGUGGCUUCUCCAUGGAGGUAGAGAGCCAGAUACUUCAAAAGGAUUCAUAAUAUUUGGAUAUGAUAGUGAUGAAGAUUGGGAGGCUCUAAGCGACGAGGAGGAAGAUAUUAAAUAUGAGAAGAUAGAGCCUAGUCUUCAUGAUGACGAGGAGCCACAAGAGUACGGUGAAGAUAGACAUGGAACAUUGGUGAUCCAUGAAGAUUUGGAGGAGCAUGAUAAGGCGAAGAAAAUUCCAGAAGGACGCGGUUGUGAAGAUCUUAGGUAUGACAAUGCUUCACUGGUUAAAGUUAUUUUAUCUUCGUACAAGGAAGCAUCUAGAGGACAGACAACUAGAAGGGUGAAGAAGAAAGAAGAGAUACAUGGAUGCAUCAAGUCUGCGGGAAACCUCCAACUGAAGACAGAGGCAUAUGAGUUGAAGAAAGAGAAGACCAUAUCACGAGGACAAGUAAAAAAAAGAUUCGUAAUGGCAGAGUGCAGAAGAUCCAAGGGCAGCGACACGCAAUGGUUCGACUACCCGAGACAAGUAUGCAUUGAGGGGGAGUGUUGAAAUAUGCAAUGCAUACUUGGAACAUUCUAGAAGAUUAUGGAGAUCUCAAGAGACUAACUUUGCCAUGUACAAGGAUAAAAUCAUGGCAAGGUAAGAAGGUUCUAAAAAAUUGGAGAGAAUGUAUGAGCUAUAGUUGCC